UACUGUACCUCCAGCAUGACCCAUACGACGGCCGGGUGGAGCAGUAAGUCCAGCAAUAAAUGCUACUAUAGGCUUCUGAGUCCCACUUUCCUUCAUUAAAGCAGCAGCAUCCUCUUCUGCAGUCCCUCCGAUUUCUCCUAUAAGAACAAUGCCUGAAAUGGAAAAUGCAUGCACAAUAAGAA
Telopea speciosissima is the source of this 182-nucleotide long non-coding RNA. RefSeq lists it as uncharacterized. Lineage: Eukaryota; Viridiplantae; Streptophyta; Magnoliopsida; Proteales; Proteaceae. The record is from RefSeq and is a predicted model, not a curated record. The transcript is spliced from 3 exons.